GUCCUGUGGGAUUCUGACAGAGGGUUAACCUAUUUGACCAUCAGUUUUUCGGCACACUACCAAGGUAAUAGGACAACUUUCCCUGAGACAGCCCUGUGGUUGUGAACAAGGCAUGGUUUAGUGGGAACGAUCCCAACACAGAACAAGACUCCAUCGCUCAAUUAAGACAUCUGAGUGCACGAAUACACGAACGCUUCCAGGAAGACGGGGAACCCCACACAGGAGAACAUGCAAGUCAGAGCAGGGGAUUCCGCAGUGGUUAAGGGGGAGAUGCCCAGGGACGCGUACAUACAACUGUCAUACCUCACUGUCCUCUUCAUCAUCCGUCUACAGAUUGGGAGAGAAAGAGCAGAAGGUACGGGGAACAGGAAGAGAGAGGAAGAGAAAAGAUGGGGUAGAAGAUGUAAAGGGAGAUGGAAGAGCGGGACAAUGAAGGAGGACUUUAAACAGACAGAAGUAGAGAAGAAUAAUGGAUAUGAAACAGGCCUCAGGAUAAUGUUUAAAAUGCUGUGAUCUGGCCGUUACAGGACACACCACACUCUGUGUGGCUCUAGACCUUCAUAUGUAUUCACAUACGGACAGAGACAGCAGCACAGUCUCCAGAACGCGCCUUCUCCCAUUUAGGGUUUGUUGUUUCUCCUGCCGGGACGUCCAGGGGUUUGGAUUUUCACACAGAGAUUGGAUUAGGCUGUCUUUGAACUAUGACAGUCUCCUGCCAAGCCAAACAUGCUCUGCAGCACCAGAGCCAGGCCUCCGUAAGAUCGGAUAAAGCUGUUUGGCAAAGUGAACUCAUGGGCCGUUCUGUGAUCGGCUAGUGCUGUCUGGAAUGUUGAAUGGUAGCCCUCUUUCGGAUUGGCUCUGGCUGCCUGGAGGCUGAGUAACAGGUCCUUCUGCAAUGGGCUGGAACCGUCUGGUGCACUAAGCCCCAGGCUGCUUUGGCACUGGCUAGUUACUGAGAUCAGCUGGCAAUGCCUGACCCUGUUCAUGUAGAGUCAAAGGGCUACAUGCAGAGCUUUGCUGAGAUCGCAGAUUGUACUGUCAUAGUCUCAGGUACAUUCUGGGAGACAAUCAUUCACGGUAUAGUAACACAGCCAGGUCUGGGGGCCACAGCGUUACAUCUUUCCUACAAGACUACGGGGUCACUUCCUUCAGUAAAUUAUAAUAACAAACGCGCCUUCAGACCUAUUCAAAAUAUCUUACCAGCCAGAAGCCAAAAAAGGAAUGAAAAUUUAUGUGGAAUCUAAUAUCUGACCUCAUGCCAGCCUUGUGGUUCCUCUUCAUCUGUUUAUUAGGUACUUUUCUGUGGAUCUCUCCGCCAUUAAGUGGGCCGGGCGACACAAUAGCCAGUGGAAGCGAGAAACACAAGCGGAUCAAACCACAGAAAGAGGCAGGUCUGUCUCCUGCUUCACAUGCCUCAGUCUAAGGCUACAUCUGUUCCCUGUUACAAGCCAAAGUUGACAGCACAUUGUUGUGUUUACUUCUGAAGAGGACUGGAAAUGAAUCCUGAGUUUGCUCAAUGCCCUCCAUGGGUCUGUAUCUGCCAUACAGAUUAAUAAUCACACCUUGGGGACUAACACUGGGCCUUUCUGCUGAGCUAGUGCCCUCUGAUUGGUUGCCAUCACAGUAUGAGACUCAGCGUACAUCGUGGGAUACGUCAUAGAGGCAGGGAUGUGGUCUGAAGACAUCCAGGACAGGAGAGCUACUGUUGCAGUUACACUAGUGUGAGACCAGUCAGGUGUGAUGGUCGUCGACCAACCUUACUGUCUUCAUUACGGGACUCUGGUACUGCCAGUGUUACCUGUUGAUGAUCCUGCGGUGUAUGAUCUUCAGGAUGAUGAUCCGUUCGGCACAGUCCUUCAGGAAAUCCGACAUUUUCUGCUUCAGUACCGACUUCAUUUCAUGCUUGGCGAUCACCUUCAGGUGAUCCCACGAUGCCUUGCACCGGCGUUCCAUCUGACACAGGUUCUCUUGCAGUUGGUCAAAGUCCACCUGGAAAACAUGGAACACGGCCCUCAAUCUUCUCAGCUCAGGCUGAGGCUCUGGUCACGCGAGGUCAGAACUUUGAAUACCAUUUGCCUACAUCACUAAGCGCAAAAGUAAUAAAAUAAGUGAAAGCAA
Long non-coding RNA from Brienomyrus brachyistius, 2118 nucleotides. RefSeq lists it as uncharacterized. The transcript has 3 exons. Lineage: Eukaryota; Metazoa; Chordata; Actinopteri; Osteoglossiformes; Mormyridae. The record is from RefSeq and is a predicted model, not a curated record.